AGAACGAACGCUGGCGGCAGGCUUAACACAUGCAAGUCGAACGCCCCGCAAGGGGAGUGGCAGACGGGUGAGUAACGCGUGGGAAUCUACCUGGUUCUACGGAAUAACUGAGGGAAACUUCAGCUAAUACCGUAUACGCCCCAAGGGGGAAAGAUUUAUCGGUGCCAGAUGAGCCCGCGUUGGAUUAGCUAGUUGGUAGGGUAAUGGCCUACCAAGGCGACGAUCCAUAGCUGGUCUGAGAGGAUGAUCAGCCACACUGGGACUGAGACACGGCCCAGACUCCUACGGGAGGCAGCAGUGGGGAAUAUUGGACAAUGGGCGCAAGCCUGAUCCAGCCAUGCCGCGUGGAUGAUGAAGGCCUUAGGGUUGUAAGUCCUUUUAACGGGGAAGAUAAUGACGGUACCGUAGAAUAAGCCCGGCUAACUUCGUGCCAGCAGCCGC
This 441-nucleotide ribosomal RNA is filed under the name uncultured bacterium. RNAcentral describes it as "SSU rRNA". It matches the Rfam family "Bacterial small subunit ribosomal RNA", at positions 26 to 518 of the family's 1533-position model. The record is from RNAcentral.